This is a non-coding RNA of Chaetura pelagica (chimney swift), 45 nucleotides long. Lineage: Eukaryota; Metazoa; Chordata; Aves; Apodiformes; Apodidae. The record is from Rfam.
CCAACGGCUCUUUUAAGAGCCACCCACUUGCUUUUAAAAGGGCUG